AUACGUAGGUGACAAGCGUUAUCCGGAUUUACUGGGUGUAAAGGGCGUGUAGGCGGUUUGGCAAGUCAGAAGUGAAAUUCCCGGGCUUAACUUGGGCGCUGCUUCUGAAACUGCUUAACUUGAGUGCUGGAGAGGAUAGUGGAAUUCCAAGUGUAGCGGUAAAAUGCGCAGAUAUUAGGAGGAACACCGGUGGCGAAGGCGGCUAUCUGGACAGUAACUGACGCUGAGGCGCGAAAGCACGGGGAGCAAACAGGAUUAGAUACCCUGGUAGUCCGUGCCGUAAACGAUGAAUACUAGGUGUAGGGGGUAUCGACUCCCUCUGUGCCGCAGUUAACACAUUAAGUAUUCCACCUGGGGAGUACGGCCGCAAGGUUGAAACUCAAAGGAAUUGACGGGG
RNAcentral lists this ribosomal RNA (397 nucleotides) under uncultured bacterium. RNAcentral's name for it is "partial 16S ribosomal RNA". It matches the Rfam family "Bacterial small subunit ribosomal RNA", at positions 523 to 918 of the family's 1533-position model. The record is from RNAcentral.